GUCGGGAGGGCGACUAAUACAACACCCGCAAGGGGAAUAAGUCCGCGGUUUCUUACUGCCGUUUUGAGCCUCCCGACACCAUAUU
Small RNA from Photorhabdus luminescens, 85 nucleotides. It matches the Rfam family "sRNA-Xcc1". The record is from Rfam. Lineage: Bacteria; Pseudomonadati; Pseudomonadota; Gammaproteobacteria; Enterobacterales; Morganellaceae.